UAAUUAGAUAUGUACAAGUUAUUGAAAAAUAUGUUUCGUCAUCACAGUUGUUAUUUGCAUCCUGUUAGUGCAUAGUAUAGUUUAACAUCAUCAUAUGUAUUGGUAAUCAUGGUAAUUUUAGGGGUAUAUUUCAAGGGUAAUCAUAUUUACCGGUAAUCAUGUUAAUUUUAGGGGUAUAUUUCAAUGGUAAUCAUAUUUAGCAGUAAUCAUGGUAAUUUUAGGGGUAUAUUUCAAGGGUAAUCAUAUUUAGCAGUAAUCAUGGUAAUUUUAGGGGUAUAUUUCAAGGGUAAUCAUAUUUACCGGUAAUCAUGUUAAUUUUAGGGGUAUAUUUCAAGGGUAAUCAUAUUUAGCAGUAAUCAUGGUAAUUUUAGGGGUAUAUUUCAAGGGUAAUCAUAUUUAGCAGUAAUCAUGUUAAUUUUAGGGGUAUAUUUCAAGGGUAAUCAUAUUUAGCAGUAAUCAUGGUAAUUUUAGGGGUAUAUUUCAAGGGUAAUCGUAUUUAGCAGUAAUCAUGGUAAUUUUAGGGGUAUAUUUCAAGGGUAAUCAUAUUUAGCAGUAAUCAUGGUAAUUUUAGGGGUAUAUUUCAAGGGUAAUCAUAUUUAGCAGUAAUCAUGGUAAUUUUAGGGGUAUAUUUCAAGGGUAAUCGUAUUUAGCAGUAAUCAUGGUAAUUUUAGGGGUAUAUUUCAAGGGUAAUCAUAUUUACCGGUAAUCAUGGUAAUUUUAGGGGUAUAUUUCAAGGGUAAUCAUAUUUAGCAGUAAUCAUGGUAAUUUUAGGGGUAUAUUUCAAGGGUAAUCAUAUUUAGCAGUAAUCAUGGUAAUUAUAGGGGUAUAUUUCAAGGGUAAUCAUAUUUAGUGGUAAUCAUGGUAAUUAUAGGGGUAUAUUUCAAGGGUAAUCAUAUUUAGCAGUAAUCAUGGUAAUUUUAGGGGUAUAUUUCAAGGGUAAUCAUAUUUAGCAGUAAUCAUGGUAAUUUUAGGGGUAUAUUUCAAGGGUUAUCAUAUUUAGUGGUAAUCAUGGUAAUUUUAGGGGUAUAUUUCAAGGGUUAUCAUAUUUAGCAGUAAUCAUGGUAAUUAUAGGGGUAUAUUUCAAUGGUUAUCAUAUUUACCGGUAAUCAUGGUAAUUUUUAGGGGUAUAUUUCAAGGGAAAUCAUAUUUACCGGUAAUCAUGGUAAUUUUAGGGGUAUAUUUCAAGGUUAAUCAUUUUUACCGGUAAUCAUGGUAAUUAUAGGGGUAUAUUUCAAGAGUUAUCAUAUUUACCGGUAAUCAUAGUAAUUUUAGGGGUAUAUGUAUAUGUUUGGGGUAAUCAUGUUUAGAGGUAAUCUUGGUAAUUUAAGGGGUGUAUUUCAAGGGUAAUCAUAUUUAGUGGUAAUCAUGGUAAUUAUAGGGGUAUAUUCAAGGGUAAUCAUAUUUAGCAGUAAUCAUGGUAAUUUUGGGGGUAUAUUUUAAGGGUAAUCAUAUUUACCGGUAAUCAUGAUGUAAGUGGUAUCAUAUUUCAGAGGUAGUCAUAUUAAGCAGCAGUCUUGCUAAUGUUAGACUACUGUAUGUCACGAUUUAAGAGAACACUAUAAAACUUAGCGUUUGUCAUAUUUCAACAGAAAUUCUCAAUUUAGUUGUAGAUACACAAAUGACUACCAUAUCACUGAGAUAAUUCUAUGGUAAAUAUGUUAAUAUUUCAGGGUUUUUCUUUAACAGGUUAAAAAAGAUUUAUUUUACAAUAACAUCUAAAUAAGUCUGCUCAUAACCUUGUAUUACCGUAGAUUUAACCAAUAUGAAAUGUAUCUUGCUUGUAAGAAGCAUUUCCAUUGGCUUAAUAUUAUGGUAUCAGCCCACCACGUAAAAAUGACGUCGCUGUUUGUAACGUCGCUUUUGAUUGGCUGAUAUGGCGGAGUAAUGAUUUCUAUGAGAAAAGAACUAUACAUAAAGGUUGAUUUCAAAAGGGAUUGUGUAUAGUAAAUUAAAAUAUAGGGAUUAGCUGAAAUAUAUAAUAUUUUAUGGAUGUAACACUCAAACAUAAACUACUUUGUAGUUUAUUUGGAGUACACUCCGGUUUUGUGUCAUAUCUCCAUAACAUAACAAUACUUAACUGAUUGUGUUGUAUGGGUGAUUGACUAUAUUUAUAAUGUUUUAUCAAACAUCACAUUUUUUGAAUGAGUGAAUGAUUUUUUUAUUUUCAGUUUUAAAUAACAUUUCAUUCGUUAAUGAUAGCAUUGAACACAUAUUUAUAUAAAAAAAAAUUGCUUAACGUAAAUAUAUACAAUUUAAGUAAUAGGAAAUUAUACAGAUGUAUGGCAUAAUUUACAAGGGAGAUAACACGCCACAAGUUUCAUGGAAAGAGAAAUAUAAGAGUAACAAUGUUAGAAAACCACUCGAGACUUUCCGUCUUUCUCACGGAAAAGCCCGAGUGGGUUUUGGUUUUAAGGGUGUAAAAGUCCGUCAUUGUAUUUUCAUGCUUUAUUUUUGCAUGCAGAUACUUCACAGUGUAGCUUUAGAUCUCCUGUUCAUUUUCUACUAUUAUAUAUUAUUGCGCUGUUGAAAAUGCCAUCCUAUAACAGGCAAAACAUUUAAAUUACCUCCAGUGUAGAUAAACACACGUGCAUACCCAUAUAUGGAGGUGUUUGUAUUUUUUUUUAUGUCCCAUUAAAAAAUACUUUUGUAGAAGUGAAGAUAAAUGGAGCGAGUGUUACAGUUUGUUUACGAGGUACCCUGUUAAAGUAUGCACAAGAAGUAUGUGAUUAUUUUGUCUGGUGGACACAAAGGAAAGCAUUAGGUUGACACCGCCAGUUUUCCUUUGUUAAACAUAGUGACGUCAUAAAUGCAUGGUAUACGAUGUCAUCUGCGAUUUUUUUCAUUUCAAUAAAAUUUCGACAGUGCAGAACCUCGCCAAAAGUGAGUCUAUAAAUGCAACAUUUACAAUAUAAUUUAUGAAUGUUUACCAAUUUUUUAUGGAAUAAUCGUGAAUUAUCUAAAAUUCUCGUUUGUAUUGUACAAUUUCGUUUCAAUAUCUCAGGUGACUUCACGAAAAUUAAAUAAGAAAAAAGGAGUAAUGCAUGAAAAACAGUAAAAUUACACAAGUAGACUCCCUUUUGCGCCGGUGCUGUAGGACACGGGGCAUAUUGUUGAUAAGAUAUUUCCAUAUUAUUUAUCCUUUGGAGAAAUAAGAAAAAAUAUCUACAUCCUGUGUAUGAUUUUCUAUAUCCGCCAUGCAUACAUUGUGAUGAUAAUAUGUCUCCCACCUGGUGAAAAUCGGCUAGAACGGAAGAUAUGCAAGAUACUGUCUAUAUAAAAAUGUUAAAACCAGCUAGCGUGAUAAAUUAUACAUUAAACCCUCUAAAUUAAAAAAAAUGCAUACAGUGUUUCGGCAACAGAUGGUAAUCCUUCCAAAACGAGGACACAACACUUGAGCCCGAGAGGCUUUUUAAAAUCAUCGUUUCAGUUUCCACUGCAAGGCUUACGAUCGUGAUAGCGGACGCUAAGAUCAUUAAUGAUACUAAUCUUUGUUGUACUUUGCAGAUAUGCAUGAUUUUAUAUCAAAAAUUAAUUAAUAAAAAAAUAUUAACUUUAAUGUACCUAGUUAAACUUAAUUAAUUUGUUUAUAGAAUUAUAAAAUGGCGACCGUCUGUGACGGUUAAAGAAAUGGAAUAUGUUUGCUAUGCCUGUAAAGUGGCAGACCGGUAAUGGCAGACCAGUGAAGUCUUUCUCCCUCCUGAAAUCACUAAUUUGAGUGAAAUCUUCAGCAGUCACCAAAGGUUUACUUCAAUUUAUGAUUAGCUGGGGGGGAUUUUCAAUCAUCUCAUACAAAGGUCUCUACUGUAACAGGCGUAUCUUAACGGGGGUGGAGAGUAAGCUGCCCGUUAGGGGCAUGUCUAGUCUUAUAUAAAAAAAAAUCCAGAAAUACCUACUUAAUAUAUAGGUAUUUCUGGUAUUUUUUUUUAUAUAAGUCUAGACAUGCCCCUGUGGUUAUACCAUGGAGAAACGUCGAACUCAAUCAGAUAUUAAUAAAAAAAAUUAACGACUGAGUCGAUAUAAAUUCAAAUUUUAACCCACCAUCAUCAGAUGUUCCCCUUGGUACCUAGUUUCGCCAAUUGAAGUUAGAUGUUUCAUCCGGAAAAGAAAUGGCUGACAGUCGGCCAUCUUGGAUUUUGAUAAUUGAGGUUUGUUAUUGCUCUUUCUUAAAAACAAAAACAAAAACGGAAGGAUAUUUCUCAAACGUUAAGUAGGUUCACAUUUGUCCCUAUUUGUGCCAAUUUAAUUUAGGUUGUUGAUAAGAAAACAAAAUAUCCGACAGUCAGCGAACUUGGUUUUUGAGAAUUGAAGUUGUGUUUCACACUUCGCUUGUAUAUUUCACUUGUCCUUGUUAUCAAAUUAUUAUGAGUAAAAGAAUAAAGAAGCGGAGAGAAGAGAAAAGACCAGUCAGACAUGGAACCAAUGAAUAUCAUUCUAUGGUGGACGCGAAGAUCUGGGAUCUCUUGUUUUAUGAUAAAUUUGAUAAAAAAACGGUUGUAAUGGUAUUCAAGUCUGUGUUAUCAAAACCAACCGAAUUUCUAUUCCUGACAAUUAGUCCGGAAUCGAAGACUGUUAGUCUAAACUCCGAGACAAUUAGUCUUGAAUCGAAGACUGUCAGUCUAAACUCCGAGACAAUUAGUCUUGAAUCGAAGACUGUUAGUCUAAACUCCGAGACAAUUAGUCUGAAAUCGAAGACUGUUAGUCUAAACUCCGAGACAAUUAGUCUGAAAUCGAAGACUGUCAGUCUAAACUCCGAGACAAUUAGUCUUGAAUCGAAGACUGUUAGUCUAAACUCCGAGACAAUUAGUCUCAAAUCGAAGAUUGUUAGUCUCAAAUCCGAGCAAAUUCGUCUGAAAUCGGACAUAAUCUGUCUGAAAUCAGAGAUAAUAAAUCUGAUGUCUUGCAAAAUUAAUCUGAAAUCCGAGGCUAUAAGCCACAAAUAUGGUAUAAUUGGACUGAAAUUUGAGAAAAUUAGUCUAUAUUCUUACAAAUUUUGGCUGAAAUCUGCGACAAUCAAACUGAAAUCAGAGCAAAUUAGACUGAACUCCGAUACAUUUAGUCUGAAUCAGACACAAAUCUCAAAUUCGUGGCAGUUCGUAUAAUAUUUGAGAAAAAUAACCUCCAAUCCGAUACAAUAAGUCGUUUAUACUAUCUAUAAAGAGUGCGUGCGUUGGCUAUCCGAUUAUAUUUUGGCUUGAAUUAAAUUGGCAUAUCAUAUCAAAUAUUUGAUUAAAUGUAUUUGAAAUAUUCUAGAGGUGUUGAGCAUUUGCCAUUUUUAAUUGCCAAGUUUACCUACAAAAUAUACUAUAACUUGUUUCGAGCGUACAAACUUGACAGGACAGCUUUUACUUCACUCCUAGUUGACACUGGUAUAUUAAAUUGGUGGUCAGUUAGCUUCAUAGGACUGUACUAACUAGCCGAGGUUCCUCUGACCCUGACAUCGUGUCUGGUGCAGAGGAAACUCGGGCUAUGUACUACUGUUCCAACUUGACUCGAGUGCACAAACUUAUCUCGGGUGUAUUAACUUGACUCUGAUGUGUUGAUGUGCCUGCUCUAACUCGAUUCGGUAGUGUUCACUUGACUCAGAUGUAUUAACUUGACAAGACGGUUCUAACUUAACGCUGGUGUAUUAACUCGACUCGGUGUACUGACUUGACUCAGGCUUAUGAACUUGACUCGAAUGUGUUAACUUGACUGCUGUAUAACGAGUUACUGUUCUAACUCGACUCGGUGUACUGACUUAGCUUAGAUGCAUUAACUUGACAAGCUUAUUCCAACUCGACUCGGUAUAUUGACUUGACUCAAAUGUAUUGACUCGACUCGGGUGUGUUUACUUGACUCAGAUGUAUUAACUUGACAAGACAGUUCUAACUCGACUCGAGUGCAUUAACUCGACUCGGUAUACUGACUUGACUCUAGUGUACUAACUUGACUCUGGUGCAUUAACUCGACUCGGUGUAUUGAUUGGACUCAGAUGUAUAAACUUGACAAGACUUCUAACUCGACUCGAAUGUGUUAACUUGACUGCUGUAUAACGAGUGAAUGUUCUCACUUGACUCGGGUGUGUUAACUUGACUAGGUGUACUAACUUAACUCUGGUGUAUUAACUUUACACAGCUGUUCUCACUUGAAUGGUGUAUUGACUCGACACGGUAUACAGACUUGACUCAGAUUUAUUAACUUGACUGUUCUAAAUUGACUUGGAUAUGUUAACUUGACAAGACAGUUCUAACUCGACUCGGGUGCAUUAACUCAACUCUGUACUGACUUGACUCUGGUGUAUUUACUCAACUCGGUGUUCUGACUUGACUCAGAUGUAUUAACUUGACAAUACUUUUCUAACUUGACUCGGAUUUGUUAACAUGACUCGGGUGUGUUAACUUGACUCGGGUGUGUUAACUUGACUCGGGCGUAUUAACUCAACUCUGUACUGACUUGACUCUGGUGUAUUAACUCAACUCGGUGUUCUAACUUGACUCAGAUGUAUUAACUUGACAAUACUUUUCUAAUUUGACUCGGGUGUGUUAACUUGACUCGGGUGUAUUAACUUGACAAUACUUUUCUAAUUUGACUCGGGUAUGUUAACUUGACUCGGGUGUGUUAACUUGACUCGGGUGUAUUAACCCGACUCUGGUGUGUUAACUUGACUCUGGUGUAUUAACUCGACUCGGGUGUAUUAACUCGACUCGGGUGUAUUAACUCGACUCGGGUGUAUUAACUUGACUCGGUGUAUUAACUCGACUCGGAUGUAUUAACUCGACUCGGGUGUAUUAACUUGACUCGGUGUAUUAACUUGACUCGGGUGUGUUAACUUGACUCGGGUGUGUUAACUUGACUGGUGUAUUAAUUUGACUCGGGUGUGUUAACUUGACUCGGGUGUGAUAACUUGACUCGGGUGUGUUAACUUGACUCGGGUGUGUUAACUUGACUCGGGUGUGUUAACUCGACUCGGGUGUAUUAACUCGACUCGGUGUAUUAACUUGACUCGGGUGUGUUAACUUGACUCGGGUGUGUUAACUUGACUGGUGUAUUAAUUUGACUCGGGUGUGUUAACUCGACUCUGGUGUAUUAACUUGACUCGGGUGUGUUAACUUGACUUGGGUGUGUUAACUUGACUCGGGUGUGUUAACUGGACUCGGGGUGUGUUAACUUGACUCGGGUGUAUUAACUUGAUGGAGUAUGUUGGGUUGAUGUAUUUACUAACUUCAAUAACAUGCAAAACGUUUAUCGCUAAGAAUAUUUUAUUUUCGGUGGGGUUUUUUUCAAAUGAAAUUCACAUUUGUACAUUUUUGAAGAGUUGAGGUAUUGAUUUUCCUGUGUGUUGUUUUUGUUUGUGAUAAGUAAAUGUUUAAAUUGCUUUUGACAGCUAGCACUGAUAAUUCUUUUAUAAGUAAGCCAUCAAAUACAACUUAAAGUUUGUAGCUGAUCUAUUAAAGUAGAACGAUGCUUCAGAAGCUUUAAAAUAUCUAAAUACACUAAGAAAUAAUCAUUUUUAAUUAUAACGGCCAUUUGUCACAUUGUUUCAAGUUGUUCUGACUACCGUAAGGAUCCCUUGUAUUCUGUGUUUCAAAGACAUUACCAAUUUUUCACGUCUCUGCUUGUGUUACUUCAUCGGAGAGUUCAUUCAGAUCCUCCUCGGGUUGACUACCUACAAAAAAAAUCCUGAGGAGUUCUGGAUGCGGAGAGCUCUUAGGUGACAGGUCCUAUCAGAUUAUUCUCGGGUCAGUUCCGCCAACCUUGCCUUGACGGAAUUAGCCGAGAAGUUGUGCUUGUUAUUGUAUUUUCACAUUCGACUUGUUUUGCACCCCUUCAAUUUCUGGAUUCUCUUCUUUUUCUUCAAAACUGUGCGUAUGUUUUUGAAUAGUGAUUAUUGAAUUUUGGCCCAUAUUGGUAAGAAUGGAAAUAUUGCUACAUGCUCUUUUUAAUUAAUGAUGUAAAAAACAUCCUGGAGUUCAUAGAACACCAGAUUUCAUUGCUUUUGAAAUUCAAAAUGUUCUUUACAUUUCUAUCGUAAAUUUACCAAUGUGUAUGGCUGAAAACUGCCUAAGCUUGGCGUAGUAGUAAUUUGACGAAUGUAUAAAUCUAUUUUGUUAUAAUAAACGUUACUUGGUUGUUAAUAA
Molecule: long non-coding RNA, 8117 nt
Organism: Pecten maximus
Lineage: Eukaryota; Metazoa; Mollusca; Bivalvia; Pectinida; Pectinidae
Exons: 2
Source: RefSeq, a predicted model, not a curated record